GGAAGUAAAAGUCGUAACAAGGUCUCCGUUGGUGAACCAGCGGAGGGAUCAUUACCGAGUUUACAACUCCCAAACCCCUGUGAACAUACCUAUACGUUGCCUCGGCGGAUCAGCCCGCGCCCCGUAAAACGGGACGGCCCGCCCGAGGACCCCUAAACUCUGUUUUUAGUGGAACUUCUGAGUAAAACAAACAAAUAAAUCAAAACUUUCAACAACGGAUCUCUUGGUUCUGGCAUCGAUGAAGAACGCAGCAAAAUGCGAUAAGUAAUGUGAAUUGCAGAAUUCAGUGAAUCAUCGAAUCUUUGAACGCACAUUGCGCCCGCCAGUAUUCUGGCGGGCAUGCCUGUUCGAGCGUCAUUUCAACCCUCAAGCUCAGCUUGGUGUUGGGACUCGCGGUAACCCGCGUUCCCCAAAUCGAUUGGCGGUCACGUCGAGCUUCCAUAGCGUAGUAAUCAUACACCUCGUUACUGGUAAUCGUCGCGGCCACGCCGUAAAACCCCAACUUCUGAAUGUUGACCUCGGAUCAGGUAGGAAUACCCGCUGAACUUAAGCAUAUCAAUAAGCGGAGGA
RNAcentral lists this ribosomal RNA (570 nucleotides) under Pestalotiopsis sp. 015. RNAcentral's name for it is "eukaryotic LSU rRNA". The stretch from base 204 to 357 matches the Rfam family "5.8S ribosomal RNA". Lineage: Eukaryota; Fungi; Ascomycota; Sordariomycetes; Amphisphaeriales; Sporocadaceae. The record is from RNAcentral.